RNAcentral lists this transfer RNA (451 nucleotides) under Draba carinthiaca. RNAcentral describes it as "partial tRNA-Leu". The record is from RNAcentral. Lineage: Eukaryota; Viridiplantae; Streptophyta; Magnoliopsida; Brassicales; Brassicaceae.
AAAAUCCGUUGACUUUUAAAAUCGUGAGGGUUCAAGUCCCUCUAUCCCCAACUCUACUCCCCCAAACAGUCUGUUUGACACCUUACCUUUUUUAGUUAUUCAAGAAUUCAUUAUCUUUUUUCAUUCAUCCUACGCCUUUACAAACUAUAAUUAAUUUCUUUUUUUUUAUUUUUUAUUAUAUAAAAAAGUCUUGUGGGAUAUAUCCUACACGUACAAAUGAGAAAUCAAAUGAGAAAUCAAUAUAGAUUUGAAUUAUUUAGAAUCUAUAUCAUUUUUUUAUUUGCAAAUUUAGAAAGUCUUCCUUUCGAAGAUCCAAGAAAUUCCCGGUCCAAAACUUUUCUCAUUUACUACUUUUGCGUUGCUUUUAAUUGACAUAGACCUAAGUCAUCGCAUAAAAUAAGAAUGAUACUUCGGUAAUGGCCGGGAUAGCUCAGUUGGUAGAGCAGAGGAC